UCACCAUCAAAGCUUCACCUAGAAAGCUUCAUCUACAAAGCUUCACCAUCAAAGCUUCACCUACAAAAGCUUCACCCACAAAGCUUCACCUAAAAAGCUUCACCCACAAAGCUUCACCCAAAAAACUUCACCCGAAAAGCUUCACUUAAAAAAGCUUCACCUAAAAAAGCUUCACCUAGAAAGCUCCCUCUACAUACUUUCACCAUCAAAGCUUCACCAUCAAAGCUUCACCUACAAAAGCUUCACCCACAAAGCUUCACCUAAAAAGCUUCACCCACAAAGCUUCACCCAAAAAACUUCACCCGAAAAGCUUCACUUAAAAAAGCUUCACCUAAAAAAGCUUCACCUAGAAAGCUCCCUCUACAUACUUUCACCAUCAAAGCUUCACCAUCAAAGCUUCACCUAGAAAGCUUCAACACAAAACCUUGCUCCAAAUAAACAAAUUUUGUUCACAAAACCCAAGAUGCCCUUGAACUUGUACAAAAACACUUGGGUAAACAUAAACAUUUUUUGUUUUACACCCACAAGGGCCCAAAAUUUUCCUUCUUAU
RNAcentral lists this long non-coding RNA (550 nucleotides) under Malus domestica (apple). RNAcentral describes it as "long non-coding RNA (MDOM_LNC005500)". Lineage: Eukaryota; Viridiplantae; Streptophyta; Magnoliopsida; Rosales; Rosaceae. The record is from RNAcentral.